CCGUCGUGUAGACCAGUAGUGUUGCUCCGUCAUCCAGCCACACCAACUCUCGUCUAUGUCUGUCACUCUUCUCGGCGGUGUGAGAGGAGAGUAGAAAGAGAGAGAGGGGGGUUACAACACACAGCGUAUACGGGAGAAGAGUGAGUCACCUGCUAAGGCUACUCACACAACGCUACUGGGGGGAAUUUGAAUACACUUGUUUCACUUAUGAUUAUGUGACGACUCCUGGUAGUGAGGUCACGGUUUACUGCCAGUGUAACCCUUCGCCCGGGUCAUAUCUCACAGUGUAUCAGCAAGAUCAGUCCGACAAGACGAUCAUAUUUCCAAGAAACUACAACAGUAUAUCCCUUAAGAAGUAUAAUCUUGGCUAUACUAGAGACUUAGCGCUGUUAACACGAGUGCCGUAGCAGCAGGUUAAUGUCCCAAGUGAGCAUAUACAGUAGGUGUUAUACCGCGUCUCUCCACCGCCUCCUGGGACUGUUGACAACUAACUGUCUUCAAAUUUGCUGGCUCUGGCGUCCUCGUCACACGAAUCCUCCAAGAUCAUCUAAGCCUCUUUGAGUCAGCUUAAGCCUCGCAUGGUCUUCUACAGCUUGUUUACCUCAAUUAAGAUCUCUCAAUAAGCUGAAGCUUCUCUAGACCACAAGGAUUCCUUUAGCCAUCUCCUGCUUCGUUUGUUGAGCUAAAACUUGACAGAGAUAAAAGUUCAUCUGAUUCUUCAAGAUUAAUCUGUAUAACUUCUUUGGAUCGAGAGGAAUCUCCUAAAAUCGUCAAAAUUUACCAGAAUCCGAAAAAACUCCCCACAACAGCUAAUAUUUCCUUCGAGCCUUCUCCCAAAAAAUUCUACUCGACUUAAAUAAAUUGAACCUUCCAGACGAAUACCAAGUCAGUUCUAAAGAUGAACUACAGUGUUUGUGUGAUUAGUUAAAGACGUAACACAGUGACAACCGCUACAUAGGUUAGUCUGGGUGUUGAGGAUGUUACUUGAACAGACCGGAGUUGAGUUUACCACCACUCAUAUAUGGUAUGUUUACCUCACUCUCCCACUCUCCUGAAGGGUUCAUGAUGCUCAGACCCUGAACCCCUGAGGAGCCUAAUGUCUUGAAACUUCUCUGCUGCUGAACUUUCUGAUGUCUUGAAGUUUCUGAAGUUUUCCCGAAUGGUUCAUGUUCCUGGAGCUUUGAUAUUUCUGAUGCCCUGAAAAAGUCUGAAGUUCGAAUAUUCUCAAAGCUAUUCCCUCACUUCUCAUGUCUGGACAUUUUCAAAGGAAGCAGAAUUUGAGAACUUCUGUAAUAUUUUAAAUCUUGAAGUUUCAAUAACUUAAGUUCCUGAAAUCCUGAAGUUCGUAUUGUCUUAAAGUUUCUCUCGUCACCAGAGCUCGUCAGGUCUUAAUAAUUAGUGUACAAAACUACCCACACAAAAAGUAAAUAAAUAACUCUUUGAUAAGUUCGUUGAAAUUUUGAACGUUUUUACGUUUUCAUCUCUCAAGACAACUGAAGCUGCGGUAUAUCUGAAGAUAUUGAAGUCAGUGAUACAUUCGAUCUCUGAAAAACUUCAGCAGCUAAUUUGUGCGAAAAGCAUUUUACCGAAUUGUUUGUAUAGAAUAGAAUAUUCUUCAAACAGAAUCAAAGUUCAGAGAACAUAGACGUCAAGGAAACGAUAAUACAUGAAUCACGGCAGUACAGUAAAUACAAUGAAUUAAUCACGAAUAGUGUUCCGAGACACGUCCAGAGGUUACCUUGUGUACACCACAACAACACGGACAAGCUUAGGAAACAUCCACAUCGGAGGACAUCCUGGGAAAAGAUAAGAAGAAACUACAGCACCGUCUUGAGAAAAAUCACGGCCCCGCGUCUUCAUCUUAAUUCCUAGAAGGAGAAAUGAGUCGUAACACGCGAGAAUCUGCUAGUUCGUAUUUUUGGAAACUUUAAAGCUGACAAUCAUAGAGAAAGAUUACACCUCCUUGGAGAACUACUGAUACGGCAAGAAGGCAAAGUGGAAAUAAAAUACAAAGACACAAUUGAAAAUUCAAAAGUGAGAAAGUGACAAUCAGAGCAGGAAAA
RNAcentral lists this long non-coding RNA (2063 nucleotides) under Homarus americanus (American lobster). Its description in RNAcentral is "uncharacterized LOC121853973". Lineage: Eukaryota; Metazoa; Arthropoda; Malacostraca; Decapoda; Nephropidae. The record is from RNAcentral.